This 205-nucleotide long non-coding RNA is filed under the name Trifolium pratense (red clover). RNAcentral's name for it is "long non-coding RNA (TPRA_LNC002986)". The record is from RNAcentral. Lineage: Eukaryota; Viridiplantae; Streptophyta; Magnoliopsida; Fabales; Fabaceae.
AACCAAAUCAAUCUCAUGUCUCGCUAUCUAACUUCUUGGAUCCCUCUUCUUCUUCCACUUUGAUUUCGAAUUUUGUUGUUACCAAAUUAUGGGUUCUUCUUCGAUUUCGAAUUGCAAAAAUCAAAGCGCACAUACAAUUUCUUAGCUUGCGUUUUUUGCCAAACCCCAGUAUAUCCUCCUUCAAAUUGAAUAGUUUGUAUCAGCG